Molecule: ribosomal RNA, 253 nt
Filed under: uncultured bacterium
Lineage: Bacteria
Description: partial 16S ribosomal RNA
Rfam family: Bacterial small subunit ribosomal RNA
Source: RNAcentral
UACGAAGGGUGCAAGCGUUACUCGGAAUUAUUGGGCGUAAAGCGUGCGUAGGCGGUUCGUUAAGUCUGAUGUGAAAGCCCUGGGCUCAACCUGGGAAUGGCAUUGGAUACUGGCGGCCUAGAGUGCGGUAGAGGGGUGUGGAAUUCCCGGUGUAGCGGUGAAAUGCGUAGAUAUCGGGAGGAACAUCUGUGGCGAAGGCGACACCCUGGACAAGCACUGACACUGAGGCACGAAAGCGUGGGGAGCAAACAGG